Cucumis melo (muskmelon) is the source of this 1559-nucleotide long non-coding RNA. RefSeq lists it as uncharacterized. The transcript has 6 exons. The record is from RefSeq and is a predicted model, not a curated record. NCBI's taxonomy places the organism in Eukaryota, Viridiplantae, Streptophyta, Magnoliopsida, Cucurbitales, Cucurbitaceae.
CCAAUUUUUUCUUCACUUUGUGUCGCUCCAUCACCGAGCGCUGUUCUUCUUCAGCUUGGUCAAGGUCACUCUGUCAUCGUCGUUCCGAGCGUUCUUCUUCAACCGAACGUUCAUUCGUUCCAAACUUCUUCAGCUGAACGUGUAGGUCAAGCGUUGUUCUAUCUUCCAUUAUCGACACACUUCUGGACGUUUAGAUCUUUUCAAGCCUCUUUGCAUUUUUUAAGCUUCGAUUGGUUCUCCUACCUGUGUCUUGAUUUUGUUGAAGCUGCAUCAAUGGUGAAGACCCAUAUAAGUUUUUUACUUGGAAUAUCACAUAUGGAGACAUUUGGCCUCUUGGAGUAAAGGAACAGGUAUUUUGAUUAAUGGGCAAUUUCGAGGGCCACAAAUUGAGGCAGUUACUAAUGAGAAUUUGAUUAUCAAUGUCUUUAAUAGUUUAGACGAGCCUUUCCUGAUCUCCUGGAAACUUGGAAUGAUUGGACAACUUGAAAUUUUCAUUAUAAUGCUUGCAUAUUCUUGAAUGUACAAAAGCUUUUCGUCUCAUUUUCCCCUUCUUCUUCACCGCUUCUCCAAGGCAUGUGGUGCUUGCUCCUGAACUGGCGAAACUUCUCCCCAAGAAUCGCCUCUUUCUGAACAUUGCAGAAUACUCUAUGGAAAACUCAAUCAUCAAACCAACUUACAUGCUGACAUAUGAAAGUGCAUCGGAGUUGCUUAGUUUGAACUUGGAAGAGGAGGCUGAACUUAAAAUUCUAUCUGAGGCUACAACUUUACGAUUAGCAUGACGAAGACAACAGGUGCCUCUAUAACCAUAGUGGCUUAAAUUAUUGGCAAGAAUGUUGGUUGUUUAUUAAUCAGGCUCUGAUAAAAACCGUUUAGUUAGAAACCUUUUUGUAAUUUGUAUCUAUCAUGUUUGAGGAGAUUUUGUUCCUAAAAGAUAUGCUAUUAUUAGUUUCUUUCGCAAGUAUUUAUUUGCCUUUCAUGUUCUGGUGUCAUAUUUUAAAUUGCGUGCGGAUACUAUAUCAUGAAGUUUAUGAGAGAAAUUCUAAAUAUUGGGAGCAUUGUCAUCUCGAAUUCGGUAUGUUAUAUAUUAAACUAUUUCUUUUGUGGGUAUAAUAAUUUUCAUGAAUACUAAUUCAUUUAUUUUGCAUGUUUACAUAUUGAUACACGAAAGCCAUACUCACAGGCCGAGUUAGAUGAGGUGCGGGUUGAGUUGGCUGAGUUUUUGGGUUCGUACAUAUAAUCUAUGACUUAUUUGUGAUUCUGAAGCAGGAAACUUUUUGUUGUAGUUGAUUUUUUGAAUUGUUAAUAUGGAGGGGGUUGAUUGUUAUACUUUUGAGACAUUGUUGUGAUUUAGGGUUUAGGUGAAUUGUUGAUAGGUGAAUUGUUCAUGUGUAGGGGCCCUGGGGUUGCUGUUAUGAAACUUUAUGUAUGGAGAUGAUAUACUUUUGGGCUAAGUUAGUUAAUUAGAUGAUGUUUAGUUGAAUUCUUGGAAAUAUGAUGAAAUUGUUUAUAUUGGUUUUGUAAAUGAUACGAAUAUGAUGCAAAGUUUUGGAAAUGAUAUG